UUGACCUCAAAUCAGGUAGGACUACCCGCUGAACUUAAGCAUAUCAAUAAGCGGAGGAAAAGAAACUAACAAGGAUUCCCCUAGUAACUGCGAGUGAAGCGGGAAAAGCUCAAAUUUAAAAUCUGGCAAUCCUCGUGGUUGUCCGAGUUGUAAUUUAGAGAAGUGCUAUCUGCGUUGGACCGUGUACAAGUCUCCUGGAACGGAGCGUCGUAGAGGGUGAGAAUCCCGUAUAUGACACGGACUACCAAGGCUUUGUGAUACGCUCUCAAAGAGUCGAGUUGUUUGGGAAUGCAGCUCAAAAUGGGUGGUAAAUUCCAUCUAAAGCUAAAUAUAGGCGAGAGACCGAUAGCGAACAAGUACCGUGAGGGAAAGAUGAAAAGAACUUUGGAAAGAGAGUUAAACAGUACGUGAAAUUGUUGAAAGGGAAACGCUUGAAGUCAGUCGCGUUGUCCAGGAAUCAACCUUGCAUUUUUUGCUGGGAGCACUUUCUGGUUGACGGGUCAGCAUCAAUUUUGAUUGUUGGAUAAAGGUUAAGGGAAUGUGGCAUCCUCGGAUGUGUUAUAGCCCUUGAUUCGCAUACAACAGUUAGAUUGAGGAACUCAGCA
This 605-nucleotide ribosomal RNA is filed under the name Pleurocybella porrigens. Its description in RNAcentral is "eukaryotic LSU rRNA". It matches the Rfam family "Eukaryotic large subunit ribosomal RNA", at positions 1 to 600 of the family's 3401-position model. Lineage: Eukaryota; Fungi; Basidiomycota; Agaricomycetes; Agaricales; Phyllotopsidaceae. The record is from RNAcentral.